CGGUGAAGCCCUUCGGGGUGGAUCAGUGGCGAACGGGUGAGUAACACGUGGGCAAUCUGCCCUGCACUCUGGGACAAGCCCUGGAAACGGGGUCUAAUACCGGAUAUUACCUUCCUCUGCAUGGGGGUUGGUGGAAAGCUCCGGCGGUGCAGGAUGAGCCCGCGGCCUAUCAGCUUGUUGGUGGGGUAAUGGCCUACCAAGGCGACGACGGGUAGCCGGCCUGAGAGGGCGACCGGCCACACUGGGACUGAGACACGGCCCAGACUCCUACGGGAGGCAGCAGUGGGGAAUAUUGCACAAUGGGCGAAAGCCUGAUGCAGCGACGCCGCGUGAGGGAUGACGGCCUUCGGGUUGUAAACCUCUUUCAGCAGGGAAGAAGCGAAAGUGACGGUACCUGCAGAAGAAGCACCGGCUAACUACGUGCCAGCAGCCGCGGUAAUACGUAGGGUGCGAGCGUUGUCCGGAAUUAUUGGGCGUAAAGAGCUCGUAGGCGGCUUGUCGCGUCGGUUGUGAAAGCCCGGGGCUUAACCCCGGGUCUGCAGUCGAUACGGGCAGGCUAGAGUUCGGUAGGGGAGAUCGGAAUUCCUGGUGUAGCGGUGAAAUGCGCAGAUAUCAGGAGGAACACCGGUGGCGAAGGCGGAUCUCUGGGCCGAUACUGACGCUGAGGAGCGAAAGCGUGGGGAGCGAACAGGAUUAGAUACCCUGGUAGUCCACGCCGUA
This 720-nucleotide ribosomal RNA is filed under the name Streptomyces sp. 8-96. RNAcentral describes it as "bacterial SSU rRNA". It matches the Rfam family "Bacterial small subunit ribosomal RNA", at positions 67 to 804 of the family's 1533-position model. Lineage: Bacteria; Bacillati; Actinomycetota; Actinomycetes; Kitasatosporales; Streptomycetaceae. The record is from RNAcentral.